This is a small nuclear RNA of Ochotona princeps (American pika), 107 nucleotides long. NCBI's taxonomy places the organism in Eukaryota, Metazoa, Chordata, Mammalia, Lagomorpha, Ochotonidae. The record is from Ensembl.
GUGCUUGCUUUGGCAGUAUAUACACUAAAAUUGGAACAAUACAGAGAAGAGGAGCAUGCACCCUCCUCCAAGAUGAAACGCAAGUUCAUGUUCUGUUUAAAAUACCA